This 627-nucleotide long non-coding RNA is filed under the name Monodelphis domestica (gray short-tailed opossum). Its description in RNAcentral is "lncRNA (ENSMODG00000037873.1)". Lineage: Eukaryota; Metazoa; Chordata; Mammalia; Didelphimorphia; Didelphidae. The record is from RNAcentral.
UUAGGCUAUGGCAAAUUAUAAAAGUCCUGUUAUUAAGCACCAAUCCAACUGACAAACCCUCCAAACUUGGUAUUCUACCUUCCCUCUCAAAGUCAUCACGAAGCCUGUUUAUUAUGCUUACCUCACCCUUUGACUGACUGUGCAUGUGUACCAUGGCUUCCUGGAAGAGAUAGGCUCAAGUGCACAUGUGGCUACAAGGCAUCCCUAUGAGCUGGCAGAAGUCCCUGUGCAACAGGUGAUAUGUCCAGAAGUCAGGACUUGGGAAUCUGACUGAAGUUUUAGCUUAUCCAAUCAGAGGACCCCAGAAGGAGUGGUAAAAAUAGGCUAUAUAAGCAUAUGGAGAGGAACCAGACCUAGAAACUCAUGGUCCUAGGUCCAAAUCUGUCUUCAGAUUUCCUAGCUGUGUGACCCUGGGCAAAUCACUUAACCCCCACCGCCUAGCUCUUACCAUUCUUCUGCCUUAGAGCCAAUAUGUAGUAUUGAUUCUAAGAUGGAAUAUAAGGGUUUUUUUUUUUAAAGGUCAGAUAGAGAGGAAAGGAGAAAGGAGAAAACAGGAUCAGUACAGUCCUAUGUUACAGAGCAGUCAAGAAGAAUAAAGCCUAAGAACAGAUUACUGGGUUUUGAUAA